Molecule: ribosomal RNA, 455 nt
Filed under: Salmonella enterica subsp. enterica serovar Infantis
Lineage: Bacteria; Pseudomonadati; Pseudomonadota; Gammaproteobacteria; Enterobacterales; Enterobacteriaceae
Also listed under: 4 other names
Description: bacterial SSU rRNA
Rfam family: Bacterial small subunit ribosomal RNA
Source: RNAcentral
AAAUUGAAGAGUUUGAUCAUGGCUCAGAUUGAACGCUGGCGGCAGGCCUAACACAUGCAAGUCGAACGGUAACAGGAAGCAGCUUGCUGCUUCGCUGACGAGUGGCGGACGGGUGAGUAAUGUCUGGGAAACUGCCUGAUGGAGGGGGAUAACUACUGGAAACGGUGGCUAAUACCGCAUAACGUCGCAAGACCAAAGAGGGGGACCUUCGGGCCUCUUGCCAUCAGAUGUGCCCAGAUGGGAUUAGCUUGUUGGUGAGGUAACGGCUCACCAAGGCGACGAUCCCUAGCUGGUCUGAGAGGAUGACCAGCCACACUGGAACUGAGACACGGUCCAGACUCCUACGGGAGGCAGCAGUGGGGAAUAUUGCACAAUGGGCGCAAGCCUGAUGCAGCCAUGCCGCGUGUAUGAAGAAGGCCUUCGGGUUGUAAAGUACUUUCAGCGGGGAGGAAGGU